UACGAAGGGGGCUAGCGUUGCUCGGAAUUACUGGGCGUAAAGCGCACGUAGGCGGUCUUUUAAGUCGGGGGUGAAAUCCUGGAGCUCAACUCCAGAACUGCCUUCGAUACUGGAAGACUUGAGUCCGGGAGAGGUGAGUGGAAUUCCGAGUGUAGAGGUGAAAUUCGUAUGAUAUUGGGAAGAACACCGGUGGCGAAGGCGGCUCUCUGGACCACAACUGACGCUGAGGCGCGAAAGCGUGGGGAGCAA
RNAcentral lists this ribosomal RNA (249 nucleotides) under uncultured bacterium. RNAcentral's name for it is "partial 16S ribosomal RNA". It matches the Rfam family "Bacterial small subunit ribosomal RNA", at positions 524 to 771 of the family's 1533-position model. The record is from RNAcentral.